Molecule: ribosomal RNA, 492 nt
Filed under: uncultured bacterium
Lineage: Bacteria
Description: partial 16S ribosomal RNA
Rfam family: Bacterial small subunit ribosomal RNA
Source: RNAcentral
AGUGAGCGCUGGCGGUAGGCCUAACACAUGCAAGUCGAACGGCAGCACAGUAAGAGCUUGCUCUUACGGGUGGCGAGUGGCGGACGGGUGAGGAAUACAUCGGAAUCUACUUUUUCGUGGGGGAUAACGUAGGGAAACUUACGCUAAUACCGCAUACGACCUACGGGUGAAAGCAGGGGAUCUUCGGACCUUGCGCGAUUGAAUGAGCCGAUGUCGGAUUAGCUAGUUGGCGGGGUAAAGGCCCACCAAGGCGACGAUCCGUAGCUGGUCUGAGAGGAUGAUCAGCCACACUGGAACUGAGACACGGUCCAGACUCCUACGGGAGGCAGCAGUGGGGAAUAUUGGACAAUGGGCGCAAGCCUGAUCCAGCCAUACCGCGUGGGUGAAGAAGGCCUUCGGAUUGUAAAGCCCUUUUGUUGGGAAAGAAAAGCAGCAGGUUAAUACCCCGCUGUUCUGACGGUACCCAAAGAAUAAGCACCGGCUAACUUCGUG